This 253-nucleotide ribosomal RNA is filed under the name uncultured bacterium. Its description in RNAcentral is "partial 16S ribosomal RNA". It matches the Rfam family "Bacterial small subunit ribosomal RNA", at positions 524 to 776 of the family's 1533-position model. The record is from RNAcentral.
UACAGAGGUCUCGAGCGUUAGGCGGAAUCACUGGGCUUAAAGCGUGUGUAGGCGGAUCGGUAAGUACCUUGUGAAAUCCCACAGCUUAACUGUGGAACUGCUUGGUAUACUGCCAGCCUUGAGCCACUUAGGGGCUACCGGAACAAAUGGUGGAGCGGUGAAAUGCGUAGAUAUCAUUUGGAACGCCAAUGGUGAAAACAGGUAGCUGGGAGUGUGCUGACGCUGAGACACGAAAGCCAGGGGAGCAAACGGG